CCCCCACGCCCUGCGGCCCCUCUCGGCUCUGAACAGGGGCCCUGCUCUCUGGGACUCCACAUCCCUGCAAAAUUUGUCUCCCCUUCCCUGGGUUCCUCCCCCGGGGCUGAGCUGAGGACAAGGGCCUGGCCUCCUCCUUGGAGAACCCCACAGCACCCUGCAUUUCGGCGUGGUCCAUGGGCUCUUCUCAGGGGCUCCUCACGUUGUGCAAAGGGGUAAGGGAGCAGGGCCAGCUGCAGAUCUCCCUCCCGCUGUGACAAGGACAUCCUAGUCGAAGAGCCCGUUUAUCUUCGCUCUUAAGGCCAGGCUCUCUCAGGUCAUUGUUGCCAAAGAAAUGAAUUGCAGCACAGCUCCGCAGGUCCCUGCACAACUGGGGCAAGGGCUGGCACUGGGCCAGCGGGAACCUGUUGGGGAGGCUGCAAGGUGCUUCUCUGCAUCCAAGGCUGCCACACCCUGUGCACACUGUGGAGCUGGGUGGAUGGGGUGUGCUCAGGAGGGGCUCUCGGCCCUCGGCUGGGAGUCAGAGGCGUGGUGGGUGGGGCGGGGAGGGGUGUCACAGCUGCAGGGCAGCCUUGAUGUCUGCACUUGGCUUUUUAAUUUGUAGUCACAGCCAACAAGUGUGGAAACCGCCUCAGGACCGGCUUGAGUGGAGCGGCUGCGGGAGUUACUUCAUGACUGUGGUCUCACGCUGUGUUUCGCCACCCAUCCCUGCCUGGCCUGGCUUCCUUCCUUCCUCCUGGGUAACAGAGUCCCAAGAUUCCAAGUUCCAGGAGCAUGAAAGGACUCACUUGUGGAGAUUCCUGCCUGGGGCUCCCACCCACCUAAGGAAUGCCAUCCUUGUCACCGGCUCACGGGGCAGCUCUUUGGUAUCCUUCCAGGGUGGUGUGUACAAGUACAGGCACAUGGAUGCAUGGAUGCAUGAGCAUUUUUUUCUUUUGCCGACAUAUUAAUACACCCGGCAGCACUCUAGGCCCAUUGGCCUGCAACUUUUCAUUUGAUUGAUUUUUAAUUAUUUACUUUUUUAAAAAAUUGUAGUUAAAUAUACAUGACAUAUAUUUACCAUUUGAGUCUUUUUUUUUUUUUUGAGAUGGAGUCUUGCUCUAUCUCCCAGGCUGGAGUGCAGUGGUGUGAUCUCGGCUCACUGCAACCUCCACAGCCUGAUCCUGGGUUCAAGGGAUUCUCCUGCCUCAGCCUCCCGAGUAGUUGGGAUUACAGGCGCCUGCCACCAUGCCUGGAUAAUUUUUUUUUCUUUUGAGACGGAGUCUUGCUCUGUCACCCAGGCUGGAGUGCAGUGGUGCAAUCUCAGCUCACUGCAAGCUCCGCCUCCCAGGUUCACGCCAUUCUCCUGCCUCAGCCUCCCGAAUAGCUGCGACUACAGGUGCCCGCCACCACACCGGCUAAUUUUUUGUAUUUUUAGUAGAGACAGGGUUUCACCGUGUUAGCCAGGAUGGUCUCGAUCUCCUGACCUCGUGAUCAGCCUGCCUCGGCCUCCCAAAGUGCUGGGAUUAAAGGCAUGAGCCACUGUGCCCGGCCUAAUUUUUGUAUUUCUGUAGAGACAGGAUUUCACCAUGUUGGCUAGGCUGGUCUCAAACUCUUGACCUCAGGUGAUCUGCCCUCCUCGCCCUCCCAAAGUGUUGGGAUUACAGGUGUGAGCCACAGCACCCAGACCAUUUUUAAGUGCACAGUUCAGUGGUAUUACAUACAUUCACAGUGUUGUAUAAUCGUCACCACCAUCCAUCUUCAGAACUUUAUGCAUCUUGCAAAACUAAAACCUGCCCCCAUUAAACAGCAGCCCCCCUCAUCCCCUGCCCCCAACCCCUGGCAACCCCUAUUCUACUGUCCGUGCCUAUGAACCUCACUACUCUAUGCACCUCACAUACGUGGAACCACAUGGUAUCUGCCCUUUCGUCGCUGGCGUCUCUUAGCAUAACGUCCUCAAGGUUCAUCGGUGUUGGGGCACGUGUCGGGAUUUUAUGGUGUGUGAAUGACGUCUCAGUUUAAAAUGUUCUAGAGUUACCCAGUGGUGAUGGAUACACAACUCUGAAUAUGCCAACAACUUCUGACUGGUACACUUUGAGUGGGUGAUUGUAUGGUCUUUGAAUUGUGUCAAUAAAGCUGUCAUUUAAAAUAAAAUACCAAUCCGUGCUGGCACAGAGA
Molecule: long non-coding RNA, 2157 nt
Filed under: Homo sapiens (human)
Lineage: Eukaryota; Metazoa; Chordata; Mammalia; Primates; Hominidae
Description: HSALNT0275298
Source: RNAcentral